GUCUACGGCCAUACCAUCCUGAAUGUGCCCAAUCUCAUCUGAUCUCGGAAGCUAAGCAGGGUCAGGUUGGUACUUGGAUGGGAGACCAUUCCCACAGUAGUAGUCCUGACCU
Molecule: non-coding RNA, 112 nt
Organism: Bos taurus (domestic cattle)
Lineage: Eukaryota; Metazoa; Chordata; Mammalia; Artiodactyla; Bovidae
Source: Rfam